This 73-nucleotide transfer RNA is filed under the name Bos taurus (domestic cattle). It matches the Rfam family "tRNA". From Rfam's summary of the family: Transfer RNA (tRNA) molecules are approximately 80 nucleotides in length. Their secondary structure includes four short double-helical elements and three loops (D, anti-codon, and T loops). Further hydrogen bonds mediate the characteristic L-shaped molecular structure. tRNAs have two regions of fundamental functional importance: the anti-codon, which is responsible for specific mRNA codon recognition, and the 3' end, to which the tRNAs corresponding amino acid is attached (by aminoacyl-tRNA synthetases). tRNAs cope with the degeneracy of the genetic code in two manners: having more than one tRNA (with a specific anti-codon) for a particular amino acid; and 'wobble' base-pairing, i.e. permitting non-standard base-pairing at the 3rd anti-codon position. RNAcentral also lists the same sequence under 3 other names. Lineage: Eukaryota; Metazoa; Chordata; Mammalia; Artiodactyla; Bovidae. The record is from Rfam by way of RNAcentral.
UCGCUGGUAGUCCAAUGGUUAAGACUCUGCGUUUCCACUGCAGGGGCUGCAGGUUUGAUCCCUGUUCAGGAAA